RNAcentral lists this ribosomal RNA (73 nucleotides) under Laceyella sacchari. RNAcentral's name for it is "partial 16S ribosomal RNA". It matches the Rfam family "Bacterial small subunit ribosomal RNA", at positions 1463 to 1533 of the family's 1533-position model. Lineage: Bacteria; Bacillati; Bacillota; Bacilli; Caryophanales; Thermoactinomycetaceae. The record is from RNAcentral.
UGGGGCAGAUGAUUGGGGUGAAGUCGUAACAAGGUAUCCCUACCGGAAGGUGGGGAUGGAUCACCUCCUUUCU